Molecule: non-coding RNA, 31 nt
Filed under: Rattus norvegicus (Norway rat)
Lineage: Eukaryota; Metazoa; Chordata; Mammalia; Rodentia; Muridae
Source: RNAcentral
UGUGACAUUUUCACUAAACUAGGUAAAUCGC